Molecule: long non-coding RNA, 421 nt
Organism: Octopus bimaculoides (California two-spot octopus)
Lineage: Eukaryota; Metazoa; Mollusca; Cephalopoda; Octopoda; Octopodidae
Source: RefSeq, a predicted model, not a curated record
CUUGAUGUCUGUCUUUCUCACUCUAUAUAUCCAUGCGUACCAUUUACAUACUAGGUAGCCACUUCAACAUGAAUGCAUUAUUCAAAAUACUGCCAAAAUUUUGCCUAGAUUUACCUGGGAUUAAGCCUAAGGGCCUAUACCUUCAUGUUUUAUGGCCAGAUCUGUGAUUUUCAUGUGGUUUUUCCAAAGUCACACAUUAUGGUAAGUACCACACUUUAAAAUUCUGUUGAUUCUGCUGAUGGUAAGAUAUAUUCUAUAUUUAAUUAAAAUGUUACUUCUAAAAAAUUACUGUAUUUUCUGUUUCACAUAUUCUGCUUCGAAGUUCCUUUUGUAUUACUUAGACCAUCAUUACUUUAUGUAUGAGUAUGUGAAUAUGUGUGUUGUAGAGAAGUAGCUACUUAUGCAACCUCUACUUUCAAAA